Molecule: ribosomal RNA, 266 nt
Filed under: uncultured bacterium
Lineage: Bacteria
Description: partial 16S ribosomal RNA
Rfam family: Bacterial small subunit ribosomal RNA
Source: RNAcentral
GUCCACGCCCUAAACGAUGUCAACUAGGUGUUGGGGAAGGUGACUUCCUUAGUACCGCAGCUAACGCGUGAAGUUGACCGCCUGGGGAGUACGGCCGCAAGGUUAAAACUCAAAGGAAUUGACGGGGACCCGCACAAGCGGUGGAUGAUGUGGAUUAAUUCGAUGCAACGCGAAAAACCUUACCUACCCUUGACAUGUCUGGAACUCUGCUGAGAGGUGGAGGUGCCCGAAAGGGAGCCAGGACACAGGUGCUGCAUGGCUGUCGU